This 897-nucleotide ribosomal RNA is filed under the name uncultured organism. RNAcentral's name for it is "bacterial SSU rRNA". It matches the Rfam family "Bacterial small subunit ribosomal RNA", at positions 11 to 882 of the family's 1533-position model. The record is from RNAcentral.
GUUGAUCCUGGCUCAGAACGAACGCUGGCGGCGUGCUUAAUACAUGCAAGUUGUGCGAGAAAGUAUCCUUCGGGAUGCGAGUACAGCGGCGAACGGGUGAGUAACACGUAAGCAACCUGCCCCUAAAUCCGGGAUAACCCUGCCAACGCGGGGCUAAUACCGGAUGUGGUUGAAAGGUCGCAUGAUUUUUCAAUUAAAGGUGACCUCUUCUUGAAAGUUACUGUUUAGGGAUGGGCUUGCGGACCAUUAGCUUGUUGGUGAGGUAACGGCUCACCAAGGCUGCGAUGGUUAGCCGACCUGAGAGGGUGAUCGGCCACAUUGGGACUGAGAUACGGCCCAGACUCCUACGGGAGGCAGCAGUAGGGAAUUUUGCGCAAUGGACGAAAGUCUGACGCAGCAACGCCGCGUGAGGGAUGAAGGCCUUCGGGUUGUAAACCUCUGUUGAGUGAGAAGAAAAGCAUGCGGGAUAAUACUCCGCGUGUCUGACGGUAUCACUCGAGGAAGCCCCGGCUAACUACGUGCCAGCAGCCGCGGUAAUACGUAGGGGGCAAGCGUUGUUCGGAAUUACUGGGUGUAAAGGGAGCGUAGGUGGAAAGGUAAGUUAGGAGUGAAAGAUACGGGCUUAACCCGUAGUCCGCUUUUAAUACUGUCUUUCUUGAGUAUGGGAGAGGAUGACGGAAUUCCUGGUGUAGCGGUGGAAUGCGUAGAUAUCAGGAAGAACACCGGUUGCGAAGGCGGUCAUCUGGCCCAAUACUGACGCUGAGGCUCGAAAGCUGGGGGAGCGAACAGGAUUAGAUACCCUGGUAGUCCCAGCCGUAAACGAUGGACACUAGAUGCUGGAAGAGUCAAUCCUUUCAGUGUCGUAGCUAACGCGUUAAGUGUCCCGNCUGGGGAGUA